CUCCACGCACGCCUCCUCCUCGGCGCCCCCUCGCCCGCCUCCUCCUCCACGCAGAGCGCCCGCCCUCGACGAAUCCUCCACGCAGAGCCCCCACGCAGAGCGCCCGCCUCCAUCCUCCUCGACGAAUCCUCCUCGGCGCUCCCUCCCAGAUCCUCCUCGACGAAUCCUCCUCGGCGCCCGCCUCCUCGACGAUCCUCGACGCCCCCUCCCAGAUCCUCCUCCACGCAGAGCCCCAUAUCAUCCUCCUCGGCGCCCCGCUCCCAAAUUCUCCUCGGCGCCCGCCUCCUCGACGAUUUCUCCUCGGCGCCCCGCUCCCAGAUCCUCCUCGACGAAUCCUCCACGCAGAGCCAACCGGUGAGCCACUACGGUGAAGCCCAUGGCCAAAUUCCAGACGCCUGCAAUAAUAGUUCAAGAGGCUGAACCUGAAGAAAAAUUAUUGGAGGUGUGAAUCCUACAAAUUCAAUAUGAUGGAUCUUGGAUGUGUUGCUUUCUCAUGCAUGCAUUGGUGAAAUAAUAGCAGUAAUUAUCUUUUCAGGCCUGACCAUACUACCAGAGAGCUGGAACGCCGCCACCAAGGUCCACUACCACGCCGCCAUCGAGGACCAAUGCCACAUCCGCUCAACCGUUCCUGAUACCAGGUUGGGCUGAAUAUAAUCUCACUUUUGUUUCUUUGUGAUUGUUGAUGGUAGAAGAUAAGAAGCACUCAAAUCAGUAGAGACCUAAACUUAUUUACUAAUUCAGUAGAGACAUAAGAUGUUACAUCCUGGUUAUGAUCGCUAUAGAAAUCUUUGUGUCUUUGUCGAGACAAUAUUGAUUCAUAGAUAUUUUAGUGUUUCACAGCUUAGACUAUAGUUACUAAUAAUUGGCCAAAACAAAUAGUCUGUCGAAAUACACUUGAAAACAUCAAAUGCCAUGAUCUCUUGGUAAUAAAGUGUUGUAGUUAAACAUUGUGUGCCCGUACCUUUCUACCUAUCAUGUUAUUCAAUUCUGAUGGAUCUUCUCACUGUGGUUGUUUUUUAGCAGACAACUACUAUAGGCAGUAGCAAUCAGUACAUUAAACCUGCAAUUUCUUAAUGUGGCAACUGAGUUUACACUUGCAUCUCUAGAAUGUAGUAGCUAAGCGAACAUAACGUGAUAGCCUUUGUGCUGUGGACGAUCGCUAUCCUGUACGGACUGUAUUUUUUCUCCUGAAUAAAAGGUACCCAAACCUAACUUUAGUUACGAGUGAAAGGAAAAGAGAAUGUCUGUGAAUUGGUAGCUUAGUGUUAUUAACCAAAACUCCAAUAACAUGAAUUAAAACUAUCUUUUUUUAGGUAACCAUGCUACUACUGCAAGCUAAUAGUUCUAAACAUGUGUUCCUUUAUUUAUCAGUUAUUUUCACUCGCCUAAGCUAUAUUGGUAGUUCAGUAUCAGCUAUAUUCAAUAUUUUUUAAGGAAUUUAGAUUAUUUUUGCUUCAGCGCAAUUCCCUGAAGAUUUAACAAUUUGAAGUCCUUCGAAUUCAUGCAUUCAGUGCUCUUCUUUGUCUCUUUCCACAUAUCCUGUACAAUAUAUAGCUUUACUGAUGUUAAGAGUUCAUAGGUUCAGGUUUGCAUUUAUCUAAACAUAGCUGAUCAGAUGAUGCUACCAUAUAUUUACUUAUGCACUCCUAUGUUGCAUGUGAGACUAUUGAUAUGAUUUUUUAAUAAUAAUAGAACACUUAAUUCCUUAAGUAUUUGUAGCUGAUCAACGACCUGUUCGUCCAGGAUAGAAGCAGUGGUGGUGCAGCAGCAAGGGGAUUUAAUUUAGUAAGAUGUGUUGCACACAUGUGCAUGUGGUGUAUGUGUUGUGGAUUGGCCAAAUAAAAGCUAUAGGUAUUGAAAGAAAAUAAGAGAAAAAAUUAUGGGGGGCCGAACAGACAAGGGUGCCGAAAUAGCCCCUUGAGAAAAUUAUAAUUGCCUUAAAAACUAAAAUUGUCGCCUUGCAUUUCAGAUUGGAAUUUUAGUUUUAAGUCAUUUAUAUGCUAUUCUUGCAUGUUUAGAAAAUUAAAUUAUUACUUAUAUAUUGACAGAAAAAUAUCAUAUAUCUUGAAUUCUGGAGAGCAAAAGCUACUCCCAAAAGCCAAAUCAAAGAUUGCAAUUUCAGUAAAGACACACAACACACAUGUACGAGUAAAGGUGUCCACCUCCUAUGUUGACAGUGCCACCCUACUCCUCGGUGACUUCAGAUCUUGAUUGCCUGGCAGCGUCCUGGCCUGAUUGAGUGGCAAUGGUCACGUUGGCCUGCCGCUCUUAGGCCGAGGACAACAAGAAGAAAGGUGUGUCUGCCAACUGUUGUGGUGGUGUCCUGGGCUGAUUGAGUGUUGUCUGCUCCAGUCCAUUGACAUUGCCCCAAAAUCUAGCUAUGGAUGUGCAAAAUCAUCUCUCAUGUUCAGUGUUUCAGUACGACCUUGCAAUUUUUGUUGUUGUUUAUUUCAUAGCAGAUGGAGUUUAGAUUGGGUUCUUGUUAUUUUGUCUAUAGUUGUGUUUGAAUUUAGCCAAGCAAUUAAGAUCUGUACAUUCUUGACUAAGUUCCGAUAAUCUGAUGCAAGCUAAUAGAUUUUUGUUAGCAUGAUAGGUUCUUGGAAAAUCACACAAUGUGUAUUUUCUGAGCAAUAAUCAUGGCUAUUCUUACUAAGAUUUUGUACCUUUUGCCUUUCAAUAUUUUAGUCUAUCUAAUUGCAGUUUUAGAGCUGCACAUUGGAUUAGACAGAGGAGCAGAACAACAAUGAGGCAUCGGUGCGAGGGGACAACCAACAACCAGGAAGCUAGGGGUGCUUCCUCAGUCCUCACGCUGCCGAGUCGACUGCUGGAUGGUUCAAUUUCAGAUGUCAUUGGCCUUAGAGCCCACUUAAAACAAGUCUGAUGAUGCCCUCUCAAACUUACAAACUAGACUUACUUGACCAUGUACGUUUAUGACUGUGCAUCUUAGAUUGCCUCAUAUAUUGUAUUAAUUCGAAGGUGAACUGAAUGACAUAUCUCUAAACAACCUUACGUGUUGAUGGUAGAUUUUUAAUCAUUGGUUUCUAAGGUGGUGCUUAGUAAAGUGAAGUAUAAGUUGUACUUGCAAGACAUUUGACCAUACAAAGUAUUUCAGUUACCCAUGACACUGCUUAAUCGAAGCUAUAAUGCAUA
Long non-coding RNA from Sorghum bicolor (sorghum), 3150 nucleotides. RefSeq lists it as uncharacterized. The record is from RefSeq and is a predicted model, not a curated record. NCBI's taxonomy places the organism in Eukaryota, Viridiplantae, Streptophyta, Magnoliopsida, Poales, Poaceae. The transcript has 6 exons.